This 494-nucleotide ribosomal RNA is filed under the name uncultured bacterium. RNAcentral's name for it is "bacterial SSU rRNA". It matches the Rfam family "Bacterial small subunit ribosomal RNA", at positions 322 to 807 of the family's 1533-position model. The record is from RNAcentral.
AGACACGGUCCAGACUCCUACGGGAGGCAGCAGUAGGGAAUCUUCCGCAAUGGGCGAAAGCCUGACGGAGCAACGCCGCGUGAGUGAUGAAGGUCUUCGGAUCGUAAAACUCUGUUAUUAGGGAAGAACAAAUGUGUAAGUAACUAUGCACGUCUUGACGGCACCUAAUCAGAAAGCCACGGCUAACUACGUGCCAGCAGCCGCGGUAAUACGUAGGUGGCAAGCGUUAUCCGGAAUUAUUGGGCGUAAAGCGCGCGUAGCCGGUUUUUUAAGUCUGAUGUGAAAGCCCACGGCUUCAACCGUGGAGGGUCAUUGGAAACUGGAAAACUUGAGUGCAGAAGAGGAAAGUGGAAUUCCAUGUGUAGCGGUGAAAUGCGCAGAGAUAUGGAGGAACACCAGUGGCGAAGUCGACUUUCUGGUCUGUAACUGACGCUGAUGUGCGAAAGCGUGGGGAUCAAACAGGAUUAGAUACCCUGGUAGUCCACGCCGUAAAC